This 2995-nucleotide small RNA is filed under the name Mytilus galloprovincialis (Mediterranean mussel). The record is from RNAcentral. Lineage: Eukaryota; Metazoa; Mollusca; Bivalvia; Mytilida; Mytilidae.
AUGUACUACAAAACUCCUCUUUCUCAAUUGCCAGUAGGGGGGAGGUUAACUCAUUUUCUAAAAAAAUGGAUAAGUAUUACCUCAGAUUGUUGGGUUCUGUCAGUAAUUCGAGGGGGAUUGACUCUUCAAUUCAAAGAACAACCACCUCUUUCUCCUGUUCCUAUCCCACUGUCCAAUACUCAAGAUCCACAGAAGUUUCUUCUUCUGUCAACAGAAGUAGAGACUCUUUUGACAAAGAGGGCAGUGGAGGAAGUCCCUGUAUCUUCAAUAGAUCCAGGUUUCUAUUCUCGUCUCUUCCUUGUAUCGAAGAAGACCGGAGGAAUGAGACCAGUCAUCGAUUUGUCUAUCCUCAAUUCUUAUAUGAUUAUUUCCCAUUUCAAAAUGGAGACCAAUCGUUCAAUAAGAGCUUCUAUUCUUCCAGGUAUGUGGACAACAUCCCUGGAUCUGACGGACGCUUAUUUUCAUGUUCCAGUUUGCCAUUCAUACCGCAAAUUCCUUCGGUUUGUUUGGAACAAAAGGGUUUACCAAUUCAGGGCUCUCCCUUUUGGUCUGUCAACUGCACCACUAGCCUUUACCAAACUCAUGCAGGUAGCAAUUGCUCACCUUCAUUCACAGGCUAUUCAGAUUCAUUCUUACCUGGACGACUCACUGAUCAAGGAACUUUCUCCCGAGAAACUCUAUCUCAAUACCGAUGUAGUCAUCAGAUUGCUGCUCUCUCUGGGGUUUCUCAUUUCUUGGAAAAAGUCGGACCUCAUUCCGUCUCAGGACUUUAUUUUCCUAGGCGAACAUUACCUUACUCGUCAGUGCAUAGUUCGACCUCCUCAGGAAAAGUUUCAGAAUCUUUGUUCAAAAAUUCAUCUGUUUCUAUCUCAAAAAACAGUUACUGCUCGCCAGUUUUCACAACUGCUAGGUCUCUUGAAUUCACUAGCGGAUGUUGUUCCACUUGGUCGCCUUCACAUUCGACCUCUUCAAUUUUAUCUACAUCAACAUUGGCUCCCAGCUACACAGGAUUGGGAAUUUCCAGUUCCAAUCAUUCAUCAGGAAUUGUUUCCUCAUUUGGUUUGGUGGACUUCUCAAGCAAACGUUUUGAGAGGCCAACUUCUGUCCUCUCCAGUUCCAAAUCAGACUCUGUUCACAGAUGCCUCCAACCUCGGUUGGGGAGCUUAUCUGGAAGGUCUUUCAGUGUCAGGAGUGUGGACUCCAGAUCUUUUGAAGGAACACAUCAACAUACUAGAAAUGAAGGCAGUUCUUCUUGCACUGUCUCAUUUUCAGUCCCUACUGCAGAACAAAUCUCUGGUUCUAGCAACGGACAACACCACUGUGGUGGCUUAUUUGCGAAACCAAGGGGGAACUCAUUGUUACGAGCUGUAUCUUUUAGCAAGAGAAAUCCUCCUUCUUUGCAAUCACCUUCAUCUACAGAUUGUAGUUCGUCAUGUCCCAGGGAAACUCAAUGUGUUAGCAGAUGCUCUGUCAAGAACACUUACCCCAGUCAAUACAGAGUGGGAACUUCUCCAAUCAGUAUUUCAGGCAAUAACACUUCAGUGGGGGUCUCCUCAUGUAGACCUGUUUGCAACAAGCCUCAAUUACAAAGUUCAAGUGUUCAUGUCUCCUGUACCAGAUCCGAAAGCUUACGCAGUAGACUGCAUGAGUGUUCCUUGGGACGGGAUGUUCGCUUACGCCUUCCCACCGUUCAGAUUUCUGUCACAAGUUCUUCGGAAGAUCUCAGCAGAGCAAGGGUUGAUCAUUCUUAUUGCUCCAGCUUGGCCCAAACAAGCCUGGUUUCCAGAUCUUCUUCAUCUGUCUUGUGCUCGUCCACUGGUUCUACCAGUACGACACAAUCUUCUGUCCCAGUUCAAGGGCAAGAUACUUCAUCCCAAUCCAGAGAAGCUACAUCUGUUCGCGUGGCUUCUCUCAGGGAUAGCUUCAAGGAGAGAGGUUUUUCUGAAUGCGCAGCCAGACAUCUCUCCAGAGCAGUUAGAGAUUCCACUAACAUCGUCUAUGAUGCCAAGUGGACUAUCUUCAGUAGUUGGUGUAGUGAGAAGGAAAUUGAUCCUUUCCAAAUUUCUGUACAACAACUAGCAGACUUUCUGAUCCACCUUUUUGAAGAGAAAGGAUUAUCUCCCUCUACUAUUAAAGGCUAUAGAUCAGCUAUUUCUAGGACGAUUCAACUGUCUGGAGGUCCAGACUUUGGUAAUAAUGAAUUCAUUUCUCUUUUAGUUAAGAAUUUCACUCUUGAACGCCCUAGACAGAGAGUUUUAAUCCCGUCUUGGAAUUUGAGUCUUGUUUUAUCAGCUUUAAAAACCAUCCUUUUGAACCUGCUGAAAAGGUUGAAAUCAAGUUUUUAUCGUAUAAGUGUUGUUUCCUUCUUGCCUUGGCCUCUGGUAGAAGAAGAAGUGAAAUUCAUGCUUUUUCCACUGCUGAUUACUGCCUUCGUUUUAAUAGGGAUAAGUCAUCUGUUACCCUAUUAACGGAUCCAGCUUUUUUAGCCAAAAAUCAAAUUCCGGGUAGAGGUUCAGAACCGAUAGUGAUUCCAGCCCUUCCUGAUGAUUCAAGUUCUAAAGUACUCUGUCCUAUCCGAGUCUUACUUUUAUAUCUUCAGAGAACUCGAAGUCUCCGCACCUCCUCAAAUUCCAGGUUAUUUAUUCCUAUUAACAAAGGAAAACAAGAUUUGUCUGCUAAAACCAUUUCAACUUGGAUCUGUAAAACUAUUCAAUUAGCUUACAGUUUUUCUAAUGAAGAACUUCUGAAUAGUAUGCAUGUUAAAGCCCAUGAUGUUAGAGCUAUUUCUACCUCCUGGGCCCUGUUUAAUAAUGCUUCUUUAGAGGAAGUCUUAUCUGCAGGUUUCUGGAGAACUGAAAAUUCUUUCAUUUCUCACUAUCUGCAGUCUUUAGCUACUCAAGCUCAGAGUUUGUACUCCUUAGGACCUUUAGUUUCCGCACAAAGAGUUGUUUUUCCUCCUGCAUCUUCUGGUUCAGGGGAUUCAGCUUUGUGUUAG